RNAcentral lists this ribosomal RNA (1582 nucleotides) under Acinetobacter baumannii. Its description in RNAcentral is "partial 23S ribosomal RNA". It matches the Rfam family "Bacterial large subunit ribosomal RNA", at positions 1291 to 2852 of the family's 2925-position model. The record is from RNAcentral. Lineage: Bacteria; Pseudomonadati; Pseudomonadota; Gammaproteobacteria; Moraxellales; Moraxellaceae.
CGAAUGCUGACGUGAGUAACGACAAAACGGGUGAAAAACCCGUUCGCCGAAAGACCAAGGGUUCCAGUCCAACGUUAAUCGGGGCUGGGUGAGUCGACCCCUAAGGCGAGGCCGAAAGGCGUAGUCGAUGGGAAAAUGGUUAAUAUUCCAUUACUUCUGUGUAAUGCGAUGAGAGGACGGAGAAGGCUAAAUCAGCCUGGCGUUGGUUGUCCAGGUGAAAGGAUGUAGGCAUGUAUCUUAGGCAAAUCCGGGGUACUCUAUGCUGAGAUCUGAUAGCAAGCUGUACUUGUACAGCGAAGUGGUUGAUGCCAUGCUUCCAGGAAAAGUCUCUAAGCUUCAGUUACACAGGAAUCGUACCCGAAACCGACACAGGUGGUCAGGUCGAGUAGACCAAGGCGCUUGAGAGAACUCUGCUGAAGGAACUAGGCAAAAUGGUACCGUAACUUCGGGAGAAGGUACGCUGUUGUUGGUGAUGGAACUCGCUUCCUGAGCUGACGACAGCCGCAGAAACCAGGCCGCUGCAACUGUUUAUUAAAAACAUAGCACUCUGCAAACACGAAAGUGGACGUAUAGGGUGUGAUGCCUGCCCGGUGCUGGAAGGUUAAUUGAUGGGGUUAGCGUAAGCGAAGCUCUUGAUCGAAGCCCCAGUAAACGGCGGCCGUAACUAUAACGGUCCUAAGGUAGCGAAAUUCCUUGUCGGGUAAGUUCCGACCUGCACGAAUGGCAUAAUGAUGGCGGCGCUGUCUCCAGCAGAGGCUCAGUGAAAUCGAAAUCGCUGUGAAGAUGCAGUGUACCCGCGGCUAGACGGAAAGACCCCGUGAACCUUUACUGCAGCUUGACACUGAACUUUGACCUUACUUGUGUAGGAUAGGUGGGAGGCUUUGAAGCUGGAACGCUAGUUCCAGUGGAGCCGUCCUUGAAAUACCACCCUGGUAAUGUUGAGGUUCUAACUCUGUCCCGUGAUCCGGGACGAGGACCGUGUCUGGUGGGUAGUUUGACUGGGGCGGUCUCCUCCUAAAGAGUAACGGAGGAGUACGAAGGUGCGCUCAGCGUGGUCGGAAAUCACGCGUAGAGUAUAAAGGCAAAAGCGCGCUUAACUGCGAGACCCACAAGUCGAGCAGGUACGAAAGUAGGUCUUAGUGAUCCGGUGGUUCUGUAUGGAAGGGCCAUCGCUCAACGGAUAAAAGGUACUCUGGGGAUAACAGGCUGAUACCGCCCAAGAGUUCAUAUCGACGGCGGUGUUUGGCACCUCGAUGUCGGCUCAUCUCAUCCUGGGGCUGAAGCAGGUCCCAAGGGUAUGGCUGUUCGCCAUUUAAAGAGGUACGCGAGCUGGGUUUAGAACGUCGUGAGACAGUUCGGUCCCUAUCUACCGUGGGCGCUGGAAAUUUGAGAGGAUCUGCUCCUAGUACGAGAGGACCAGAGUGGACGAACCUCUGGUGUACCGGUUGUGACGCCAGUCGCAUCGCCGGGUAGCUAUGUUCGGAAGGGAUAACCGCUGAAAGCAUCUAAGCGGGAAGCCUACCUCAAGAUAAGAUUUCCCUAGGACUUUAUGUCCUCUAAAGAGCCGUUCGAGACUAGGACG